RNAcentral lists this ribosomal RNA (499 nucleotides) under uncultured bacterium. RNAcentral's name for it is "partial 16S ribosomal RNA". It matches the Rfam family "Bacterial small subunit ribosomal RNA", at positions 30 to 523 of the family's 1533-position model. The record is from RNAcentral.
AUUGAACGCUGGCGGCAGGCCUAACACAUGCAAGUCGAGCGGUAGAGAGAAGCUUGCUUCUCUUGAGAGCGGCGGACGGGGGAGUAAUGCCUAGGAAUCUGCCUGGUAGAGGGGGAUAACGUUCGGAAACGGACGCUAAUACCGCAUACGCCCACGGGAGAAAGCAGGGGACCUUCGGGCCUUGCGCUAUCAGAUGAGCCUAGGUCGGAUGAGCUAGUUGGUGGGGUAAUGGCUAACCAAGGCGACGAUCCGUAACUGGUCUGAGAGGAUGAUCAGUCACACUGGGACUGAGACACGGUCCAGACUCCUACGGGAGGGAGCAGUGGGGAAUAGUGGACAAUGGGCGAAAGCCUGAUCCAGCCAUGCCGCGUGUGUGAAGAAGGUCUUCGGAUUGUAAAGCACUUUAAGUUGGGAGGAAGGGUUGUAGAUUAAUACUCUGCAAUUUUGACGUUACCGACAGAAUAAGCACCGGCUAACUCUGUGCCAGCCGCCGCAGUAA